RNAcentral lists this ribosomal RNA (379 nucleotides) under uncultured bacterium. RNAcentral describes it as "bacterial SSU rRNA". It matches the Rfam family "Bacterial small subunit ribosomal RNA", at positions 188 to 586 of the family's 1533-position model. The record is from RNAcentral.
UUCAUUCGGUUUAUUAAAGCAGCAAUGUGCUUGGAGAGGGGCCCGCGUCCGAUUAGCUAGUUGGUGGGGUAAUGGCCUACCAAGGCGUCGAUCGGUAGCUGGUCUGAGAGGAUGAUCAGCCAGACUGGGACUGCGACACGGCCCAGACUCCUACGGGAGGCAGCAGUUAGGAAUUUUGGGCAAUGGGCGAAAGCCUGACCCAGCAACGCCGCGUGGGUGAUGAAGGUCUUCGGGUCGUAAAGCCCUUUUUCAGGGGAAGAUAAUGACGGUACCCUGAGAAUAAGCCCCGGCUAACUACGUGCCAGCAGCCGCGGUAAUACGUAGGGGGCAAGCGUUGUCCGGAUUUAUUGGCGUAAAGCGCGUGUAGGCCGGCCAAGUG